This 77-nucleotide transfer RNA is filed under the name Flavobacterium columnare. RNAcentral's name for it is "tRNA-Arg". It matches the Rfam family "tRNA". Rfam says of the family: Transfer RNA (tRNA) molecules are approximately 80 nucleotides in length. Their secondary structure includes four short double-helical elements and three loops (D, anti-codon, and T loops). Lineage: Bacteria; Pseudomonadati; Bacteroidota; Flavobacteriia; Flavobacteriales; Flavobacteriaceae. The record is from RNAcentral.
GAUUCCAUAGCUCAACUGGAUAGAGCAUUCGCCUACGAAGCGAAAGGUUUCAGGUUCGACUCCUGAUGGAAUCACAA